AUAUAUAUAUAUGAGGGGGAUAGGUCGCUGAAAGGUUCCUGGCUUUAAGGGUAUCGCAAAGGGCUUGGUUGGUGGCCCAACCUUCUGGGUUCUUUUAGAGGGUUUAGAAAAACUGAAGGACCGCUACAGUAACUGUGUGAAUCUGAGAGAGGAAUAUGUUCAAUAAAUUCAUUAACUGAUCGUUCUGUAUUUCCUUUUACACA
Molecule: long non-coding RNA, 203 nt
Organism: Octopus sinensis (East Asian common octopus)
Lineage: Eukaryota; Metazoa; Mollusca; Cephalopoda; Octopoda; Octopodidae
Exons: 3
Source: RefSeq, a predicted model, not a curated record